Molecule: non-coding RNA, 1693 nt
Organism: Misgurnus anguillicaudatus (oriental weatherfish)
Lineage: Eukaryota; Metazoa; Chordata; Actinopteri; Cypriniformes; Cobitidae
Source: RefSeq, a predicted model, not a curated record
UCAAGGUCACGUCAGAGCGGUGAUGAUGUGGAGAGGCAGAGACCACCACCAUACGCGAAGAUGAGCCUCGAGGCGUGACAGUUAUUUUUUCAAACUGGGGAGUUCAGACUCCGGACCGGCAUUUCUGCUUGUUUGUACCCUGAGGAACCCAAAGGUCCCACACCAACCAUAGUGUUCAACGGCUCUCCUGAUCUUCUCAAAUCUGAAAGUAUCAACUUUAUAAUGGACAAUGUGAACUUAAUAUGUGGAAGACAUUGACAUCACAGGCUGUGGAAUGACUGUGUCACAGGUCGUAGAAGCGGACCGCCCCUGUCGCGGAUCACGCUCCUCCUAGUUCCACCUCGAGGAGGUCCCAAAGCACCCCAAUGACCAGACAAACCAGAGAUAAGUAAAAUAUAGAAAUAGAAACUUUAUUUAAAUUAUUUAAAACUAAAGUGGGGAAUGGGAAAGGGAAUCUAAAAAUCUCGCUUCUCGCCCUCAGGGGGAGUAUUACGGGGCCAGGGACGUUGGAGGGGUUUCCACGUGACUCCAGCUGGAACACCACUACAGAGCGUAUCUGGGUGGGUUGGGCACACACCGUCGCGGCGGCCCCUGAUGGCAUCCACAAAGGUCCGAGACCCUCCUAAGCUCCUAGCCGUAGCAGAACUACGUAUUUCAGCACCCGAAGGACUAACAACCCAGCCGGCAUCUGCAGCGUAUAUCCAACGCGAUCAAACUUCACUCUGACAAGUAACUUCCUAUACACAACCACGCCGUCCUUUCGCCCGGACCAGCCCCGCACUCUUUCCGCCCGCUACCUAGCGGUCGCCGGAUCAGCAGAGCCUGCGGACUCUUCGGAGGCUGGUCUUCGUUGUGCUGCCCAAGGCGGAAGUUGACUCGCCCGAAAAUCGACCCUUCCAGUAACUUCUACCUUCUCUCUUUAUAUCCUCCUCCAUGGCGUGGCUCGCCCAACCAUCGCUCGCCACGUCACUUACACAGCUGUGCCUUGUUUCAGCAAGUGCGGGGAUUCCCGGGGAACCCUGAAGUGCCGGUGUCUCUACAAACCGGUCCGGGCGGAACCUCUUCACUCUCCUUUUGGUUCCGCCCCGCAUAGUCACUCCGUGACAACUGUUUGCGUUUUUUUUUCUCCUCAAUGUUCAAUACCCUUUUGCCAUUAAGCACACAGUGACUUUAAUUUAUAAAAUAUAUGCUUAAGUUUUAAUACCUGUACAAAACAAAUGUACAAUCAACUUGUGUAAAUUUUAAUAAAAAUUUAAGCUUUAAUUGCUUGUUCAUGUUAGUUCAGAGUGCAUUAACUAAUGUUAACAAGAUUUUAAUAAAGUAAUUGUUGAAAUUAACAUUAACAAAGAUUAAUAAAGGCUGUAUAAGUGCAGUUCAUUAUUAGUUCAUGUUAACUAAUGUAGCUAACUAAUGUUAACUAAUGAACCUUAUUGUAAAGUGUUACCGUGAUUUCUUUUCAUCAUUUCAGACACAUGUAAAAGUUACUAAAAAUUAGUACUGCAUAUACUGUACAGUAUCUAUGCGUAAGGGAAAUAACUUGAACAAAAUUUUUAAUGUAUAGUGUAAUUAAGAGUUUAGCUGUUUAAUACAGAGAUGCAAUUUAUUUAUAUAUAUUAUUUAUAUAUAAACGUAUGUAUGUUUAUUAAAAAGUGAAAAUGCUUAAUGGAAAUAAUUAAAUAACUAAAUGGUUGAA